RNAcentral lists this ribosomal RNA (717 nucleotides) under Miconia bigibbosa. RNAcentral describes it as "eukaryotic LSU rRNA". The stretch from base 246 to 401 matches the Rfam family "5.8S ribosomal RNA". The record is from RNAcentral. Lineage: Eukaryota; Viridiplantae; Streptophyta; Magnoliopsida; Myrtales; Melastomataceae.
GGAUCAUUGUCGAAAUCGAACGGAAGAACGACCCGCGAAUCGUCAUUGCGUAGUAGACAGAGCCCGUGAGCACCUAACGCUCACGGGCCUCGCGUCGCGUCGGCGCGGGUGUACUCGAGACCCGCGUCGUACCGGCGGACAAACAACGUCAGCACGGAUCGUGCCAAGGAGCUGCAUGGAGAGAAUCGUCGUCCCCCUAGUCCUCGACGCGGGACGGGGGAUGUACGCAAUCCAAAAGUCUAAACGACUCUCGGCAACGGAUAUCUCGGCUCUUGCAUCGAUGAAGAACGUAGCGAAAUGCGAUACUUGGUGUGAAUUGCAGAAUCCCGUGAACCAUCAAUUCUUUGAACGCAAGUUGCGCCCGAAGCCAUUCGGCCGAGGGCACGCCUGCCUGGGCGUCGUGAAUCCCCUUGCCCCUAGGCACCCGCACGAGCAUCGGCGGGGACAUAUCCUCGGGCGCAGAAUAUGGUCUCCCGUGGGAUCGGCAUGCACGGCAUGACGAGGUGCGGUUGGCCGAAAAUCGAGCAUGGCGGUGACGGGCACCACGGCGUUCGGUGGAUCGAAUGAGAUUGGCUGCGUCGUGGGCUCGGCAUGCGGCGGGCUCCGGACUUUGAAUAUCCCCGAGUGCGAUCCCAGGUCAGGCGGGGCUACCCGCUGAGUUUAAGCAUAUCAAUAAGCGGAGGAAAAGAAACUAACGAGGAUUCCCUUAGUAGCGGC